UAGAGUUUGAUCAUGGCUCAGAACGAACGCUGGCGGCAUGCCUAACACAUGCAAGUCGAACGUGAUCCGGGGCUUCGGUUCCGGUGAAAGUGGCGGACGGGUGAGUAACGCGUGGGAACCUGCCCAGUGGUAGGGGAUAACCGCGGGAAACUGCGGCUAAUACCCUAUGCGCCCUGCGGGGCAAAGAUUUAUCGCCAUUGGAGGGGCCCGCGUCGGAUUAGGUAGUUGGUGGGGUAACGGCCUACCAAGCCAUCGAUCCGUAGCUGGUCUGAGAGGAUGAUCAGCCACACUGGGACUGAGACACGGCCCAGACUCCUACGGGAGGCAGCAGUGGGGRRKWWUKGGACAAUGGGGGCAACCCUGAUCCAGCAAUGCCGCGUGAGUGAUGAAGGCCUUAGGGUUGUAAAGCUCUUUCGGCGGGGAAGAUGAUGACGGUACCCGCAGAAGAAGCCCCGGCUAACUUCGUGCCAGCCGCCGCGGUAAUAC
This 486-nucleotide ribosomal RNA is filed under the name uncultured Rhodobium sp. RNAcentral's name for it is "bacterial SSU rRNA". It matches the Rfam family "Bacterial small subunit ribosomal RNA", at positions 1 to 526 of the family's 1533-position model. The record is from RNAcentral. Lineage: Bacteria; Pseudomonadati; Pseudomonadota; Alphaproteobacteria; Hyphomicrobiales; Rhodobiaceae.